AUUGAACGCUGGCGGCAUGCCUUACACAUGCAAGUCGAACGGUAACAGGUCUUCGGAUGCUGACGAGUGGCGAACGGGUGAGUAAUACAUCGGAACGUGCCUAGUAGUGGGGGAUAACUACUCGAAAGAGUGGCUAAUACCGCAUGAGAUCUACGGAUGAAAGCAGGGGAUCGCAAGACCUUGUGCUACUAGAGCGGCCGAUGGCAGAUUAGGUAGUUGGUGGGAUAAAAGCUUACCAAGCCGACGAUCUGUAGCUGGUCUGAGAGGACGAUCAGCCACACUGGGACUGAGACACGGCCCAGACUCCUACGGGAGGCAGCAGUGGGGAAUUUUGGACAAUGGGCGAAAGCCUGAUCCAGCAAUGCCGCGUGCAGGAUGAAGGCCUUCGGGUUGUAAACCGCUUUUGUACGGAACGAAAAGGUUUGGCCUAAUAAGCUGAGCUCAUGACGGUACCGUAAGAAUAAGCACCGGCUAACUACGUGCCAGCCGCCGCCGUAA
Molecule: ribosomal RNA, 498 nt
Filed under: uncultured bacterium
Lineage: Bacteria
Description: partial 16S ribosomal RNA
Rfam family: Bacterial small subunit ribosomal RNA
Source: RNAcentral